UACAGGGGGUGCAAACGUUGCUCGGAAUUAUUGGGCGUAAAGCGCGCGUAGGCGGCUACUUAAGUCGGAUGUGAAAGCCCCUGGCUUAACUGGGGAAGUGCACCCGAAACUGAGUAGCUAGAGUACGAAAGAGGGUCGCGGAAUUCCCGGUGUAGAGGUGAAAUUCGUAGAUAUCGGGAGGAACACCAGUGGCGAAGGCGGCGAUCUGGGAAGAUACUGACGCUGAGGUGCGAAAGCGUGGGGAGCAAACAGG
RNAcentral lists this ribosomal RNA (253 nucleotides) under uncultured bacterium. Its description in RNAcentral is "partial 16S ribosomal RNA". It matches the Rfam family "Bacterial small subunit ribosomal RNA", at positions 524 to 776 of the family's 1533-position model. The record is from RNAcentral.